AUGGCUAUCAGAUUGCCUAGUAUUAUGCAAGCAAAGCAGAUCCUCUGCCGGGGGAGUUUGUUUGCUAACUGAGCAGCUUCAACAUCUUUAGUAGGUGUUCCAAAAGGCUUCUUCGCAGUGUAUGUUGGAGAGAAUGAAAAAAAGAGAUACAUGGUUCCAAUUUCAUUAUUGAGUCAGCCUUCAUUUCAAGAGUUGUUAAGUAAGGCAGAGGAAGAAUUUGGAUUUGACCAUCCAAUGGGUGGACUCACAAUUCCUUGCAGAGAAGAAAUCUUCGUUGAUCUCACUUCUCGGUUGUAUGGCUUGUGA
Molecule: long non-coding RNA, 306 nt
Filed under: Prunus dulcis (almond)
Lineage: Eukaryota; Viridiplantae; Streptophyta; Magnoliopsida; Rosales; Rosaceae
Description: sRNA ncRNA
Source: RNAcentral